This 483-nucleotide ribosomal RNA is filed under the name Triticum aestivum (bread wheat). Its description in RNAcentral is "partial small subunit ribosomal RNA". The record is from RNAcentral. Lineage: Eukaryota; Viridiplantae; Streptophyta; Magnoliopsida; Poales; Poaceae.
AUGAAACUGUCGGUGCUUCCUGCCCUGGUUGAAGAGCUGAAGAAAUCUGCUACUCGAACCGGUGCGAUCAAUGCCUUAAUCCGGGCAAAAGCCUGGGUGCCGGAUUUUGAUCCUAUUGAAGCGGCUCAGGGCUAUCCCAGCUUGAAGGAAGACGGGUCAGAGUUUGGUGAAGCGGAUCUGCGAGCAAUAAAUCGGGAGGUGCGUCCGCUAGCUUGUCAAUUGGCUAAAGAAGCAGACUUGUCUCAUUAUCAAGCCCAAUAUGACAAUCAGAACAAGCGAAUAGCUGCACCAAUCCACGAAUCGGAAAAUCUGAUCCCUCCAAUCCAUAAGCAUACUUACGCUCCCGAUAUUGACCCGUCAUUGCUGAUCCAUGAUGAACCUGUUUUUCAAGCAUUAAUGGGAAUCGACUGGACAACUGUUGAUUUCCAACCACUGGGUAGAGAAACGGAAGCUGAAGCGGCGCAGGAUGACCCACAACCAUGA